RNAcentral lists this ribosomal RNA (468 nucleotides) under uncultured bacterium. Its description in RNAcentral is "partial 16S ribosomal RNA". It matches the Rfam family "Bacterial small subunit ribosomal RNA", at positions 28 to 507 of the family's 1533-position model. The record is from RNAcentral.
GACGAACGCUGGCGGCGUGCUUAACACAUGCAAGUCGAACGGAAAGGCCCUGCUUUUGUGGGGUGCUCGAGUGGCGAACGGGUGAGUAACACGUGAGUAACCUGCCCUUGACUUUGGGAUAACUUCAGGAAACUGGGGCUAAUACCGGAUAGGAGCUCCUGCUGCAUGGUGGGGUUUGGAAAGUUUCGGCGGUUGGGGAUGGACUCGCGGCUUAUCAGCUUGUUGGUGGGGUAGUGGCUUACCAAGGCUUUGACGGGUAGCCGGCCUGAGAGGGUGACCGGCCACGUUAAAACUGAGAUACGGCCCAGACUCCUACGCGAGACAGCAGUGGAGAAUAUUGCACAAUGGCCGGAAGCCUGAUACAGCAACGCCGCGUGCGAGAUAACCUCCUUCUGGUUGUAAACCACUUUCGCCUUUAACGAAACUUGAAUGACGGUAAUUGCUAAAGAAGCACCGGCUAACUACGUG